UCGGCGCCUCAGCCGCCGCCGGCCCGGGGCCGCCGCACUCACGCUGGCGGGAGCGCGCCGCAGGGAACGCGGCCGCAGCCCGGCGUCAGUGCCCUCACACCGGGGGGAACCCGCCGCAGGGAACGCGGCCGCAGCCCGGCGUCAGUGCCCUCACACCCGGGGGAACCCGCCGCAGCAAACGCGGCCGCAGCCCCGCAGACGCAAUCUCUCCCCUCAGGGCCCGCUUAGGCCGCUGCCCGCGGCUGGGACGGGAGGGGCGGAUCACGCCGCCAAGAGCUUUAGCUGCGUUUUGUCCAAGACAAUGGGCUCUCCGUGCUUAUUGGCUUCGUUAGAAGAUUCUGGUAAAAGAAAACCCGCACAGCUUAUGCGCAAGGCUUUCCUGUUCAUCUAAGCCGACAUUGCCACCUCGCGCUGGUAGGAGAUUAAUUUUGUGGCUAAAGAAUAAGCUUCUCCAUCAUCUUGGGAGCUGCUAAGUUCCAACAGCUUUACAAAGGUGAAAGUGUGUGGUUGCAUUUGGUCUCCAGGGGAAAGGAAAAAUCUGCUUUCUGCAAUCA
Long non-coding RNA from Colius striatus (speckled mousebird), 554 nucleotides. RefSeq lists it as uncharacterized. The record is from RefSeq and is a predicted model, not a curated record. The transcript has 3 exons. Lineage: Eukaryota; Metazoa; Chordata; Aves; Coliiformes; Coliidae.